GGAGAUAUAGCUCAGUGGUACAGCACGUGCCUAGCAUGCACAAGGUCCUGGGUUCAAUCCCCAGUACCUCCA
RNAcentral lists this transfer RNA (72 nucleotides) under Camelus bactrianus (Bactrian camel). It matches the Rfam family "tRNA". From Rfam's summary of the family: Transfer RNA (tRNA) molecules are approximately 80 nucleotides in length. Their secondary structure includes four short double-helical elements and three loops (D, anti-codon, and T loops). RNAcentral also lists the same sequence under 2 other names. The record is from Rfam by way of RNAcentral. Lineage: Eukaryota; Metazoa; Chordata; Mammalia; Artiodactyla; Camelidae.